Molecule: unclassified non-coding RNA, 258 nt
Filed under: uncultured fungus
Lineage: Eukaryota; Fungi
Description: partial contains 5.8S ribosomal RNA, internal transcribed spacer 2, and large subunit ribosomal RNA
Source: RNAcentral
AACGCACAUUGCGCCCCUCGGUAUUCCGUGGGGCAUGCCUGUUCGAGCGUCGUCUACACCCCUCAAGCUCUGCUUGGUGUUGGGCGUCUGUCCCCGUCUCCGCGCGCGGACUCGCCCUAAAUGCAUUGGCAGCGGCUCCCGCCUCGGUCAGCCUCGCGCAAGCACAAAUUGCGCCUGCAGUACCGUCGUGGGCCGCGUUCCAGUGAAGCUUCUCACUCCAACGACCUCGGAUCAGGUAGGGAUACCCGCUGAACUUAA